UUAAUUGGAAAGACCCACUCUUCUCUAUUCCAUACAAUCCCAUAGCCCCAUCUUCCUAUCCAGAUAUCCCACUGGAGUUGUUGGAUCUGGAGACAGUCUUGUGUUCUGGAAGUUUGAUGGCGUUUUGAUUCUGUUAUUUUUUUCCCCCUGGUUGCCAGUCUCUGCGGCCCCAUCUGGAUUUAAGAUAAUCUCAUAGCAUAAUGAAUGUUAUGCUGUUAGCUGCUGCUGGCUUCCUGUGUUUGAGCUGGCAGAGAACUCAACCUUGUAACCGUACUCUUUCUGCAGUGCUCUGCUGUCGUGAGUAUAUCCCUGGGGGAAUUGGGGCAUCACAGCGUUAGGGAGAGGUGCAGAUGCUCCAGCGUUCUCACUUGAUCCACAUCCACUUCAUGGACAAGCAAUCGAGGCCUGCCAGGAUUUGGGACUCAGCAUUUUCUGAGAGAACAGCUCCAUCAUCAGGAAUGUGGUGCAGAGGUGAAGUGGAAGGUUCAGGUUCAGAGAACUGGAUUCUCUUUUCAGUGCUCUGUAACAGCAGGUAGCCAUUAAUUCCUCAUGCUCUCCACUUCUUCACUGUCAAAACUCUGUAAUAACUCUUCUUACCGAUCUUACAGAACUCAUGCCACAUAAAGUUAGCUAGUAUGAGCUAAUAAUGGAGUUGGGCACUUUAAUAAGCUAAGAGCAAAAAUGGAACUCACAGGUACUGAGACAAUUAAAAGGAAAGAGAAGGUUCUGUUGGAUUUAUUGGAUCACUUGGAGAGGAUGCAUUUACAAAUUAGGCUAGCAUGGAGAAAUAAGACAGGGGGUGGUCAAUGACACUGCCUGGCACUGUCAUCGUGAACUGUGAAGAGUCAAGACCGGCUUCUGUCCAGGAAAGGGGCUGUGCUCACCGACUUUUGUGUCUGGAAUCCUUGUCUCGUCAACAGGGAAAAAAGAAGUUAAAGAAAAUGUACAAAGCAAGCAGUAACUUUUUGUGGGAUGCCAAGCUGAUCCUAAACCCUUGCCAUUGUUUACCCUGACAAAGAGCAUGUGAGGCACAUAUAUGUGUACUGAAUGCCCCUUAAUAGGAACCCAGGCCACACAUAUUCCUUCUGAGCAAAAAACGCAUGCAUUUUAUUCAGAAUGUGCCUUGGAACCAACAUCCUGAAUAUUAUGUAACUCUCUGUGGCAUUUUCCUUAAGAGAGUGAUCCCAGAGUAAAGGACUUUAAGAGACAGGAUGCAGAUCCAGACACAUCCUUGAUGUUCACAGUAAAAACUACAGAGAGUUUUUGUGGACCACUCACAGUUCUGUCGUAUUGGUUCUUCAGCUGGAACUACAAGGGAUCAUGAUCAGAAAAUCAGUGUUUUAGGUCUGGGGACAAAGCGCCUUGCUAUAAAUUCUAAGUGUGUACUGUUCAAACUGAUUACUCAUCAAAAUCAUAAUUUUCUAUGUCCAGCCCUUUAAGAUUAAAAGUAUCAAGUGUGGAUGUGUGACUAAUGAGGGUAUCUGUUUUUAAUCUAUCAACAGUAAGAGGUAAGUAAAGCGGUUCAGGGCAACUGAAAUUUACACUUGUGUAUAUAUCUUUUAAACGUUUAAAUCACUGUAAGUGGUCCAUUUUUAAAGAAUAAUAAAAUCUACAACUAACACAAUGGGGGAGGGCUGGACAUUUUUUCAGUUGUGACCCAUGUCUUGAGAUGCUUUCAGAGGAAGAAAAUCCUCGUUCUCUGUCCCACUUACUCUGUCACUGUCUGUUUACCUGAAUUAGAGCAGUAUGACCGAUAGAGGGGAGACAUGUAAUGCUAUUUAACUGUAAAUUUGUUGCAGAACCUAUUGAACAUGAAGUCAAAGUAAACUAUGAUUGAACAACAGAAAUAAAUGGCUGUAAGUACAAUGGAAACACAAAAAUGAAAAUAAAGCAGGCUAUUGUUUUUUUCUGACACUAAUUGUAUAAUAAUACCUAUAUUUAAUGCUGGGACUCAAUUUUGAGUGUCAAGCCAGGAAAACAAUUGAUAUAAAAUAUCGGAUUCGUCAGUGACUUUUUCUCAUUGUUGUUAGUAUUUUUCUAACAAGAAUCUUUGGAAACCAACUCUGCUGCUGAAAACAUGCCCAUCUGAAGAUGUUAUCUCAAGGAUCAAGAUGAAACUCGGGCUCUAGAAAUUGAAUCAAGUCAUGGCUUGAAUGUAAGAAGAGGGUUUAGGCUUGAUCAAUGGUAUUGAUAAAUGAGAAGAGAGGAUGCUUCAGAGGUAUUCUGUUAAACUCUAUGUAGGGUGGGGAUAGAGAAGGGACUGGGUGAGGAAGAGACUGCCUGUGAACCUCCAUCACUGCAGAGACAGAGUGCCUGGGUAACCUGACAGUUCUUUCCAUAUUCAUCGGGUAAGUGUAUUUCUACUUCCCAGUCCCAUGCAUGAUGACAUAGAUUUUUCCCUUUACCACCCCUUCUCAGUGCCUGAACCCUGACUUUACAGCAGCUUUCCAAACGUACUGUGGAAGACAAUAUAUGUGCAGACAAGAAAACCAAGUGCUCAGUUAUGCUUGGCAAUUAAUAUCUUCCAUGGAUAAAUCACACUGCAUUCUAGUUUGUGUGCUUACUUCCUGGGAGACUUUCUUUAUCUCCCUGUAUCCUUAAUAAGGAAGGCACACAUGCCAUAUGAAAAAAAACUAAAGAUACUAAGAUGCUGUAUAAAGAAAAGUGGAUGCAGAGGAAUCAGGAAUAAAACUACUCGGGUUAUGCUUGACCCAGGAGACAAGGACAAAAUAACUUUCUUAGUGUGCAAAACUAAAACGCUCAUGGGUUUUGGAGUGAAGAGAGAACAGAGGAGGAAUAACAAGAUAGAAAAGAAUGAGGGGGCUGGAGUACUUUGUGCUCUUGCUAGAGAGCCCAGGUUCAAAUCCUCACACCUACAAAGCAGCUCACAACUGUCUAGAACUCCAGUAAUAGGGAAUUUGAUGCCCUUUUCUGGCCUUUGGAAGCACCAAGUGUUGAUAUUCUGUUUAACACCGAGCACACACAUCACAUGUACACAAACAUACAGGCACUCACACAAACACAUAAACAACAACAAAUGAAUUCUUUUUUUUUAAAUCAAUUGAUAAGAAAGGUAAAAAGACAUAUUUAAAAGGCACAGCGCGGGCUGGAGAGAUGGCUCAGUGGUUAAGAGCACCGACUGCUCUUCCAGAGGUCCUGAGUUCAAAUCCCAGCAACCACAUGGUGGCUCACAACCAUCUGUAAUAGGAUCUGAUGUCCCCUUCUGGUGUGUCUGAAGACAGCUACAGUGUACUCAUAUACGAAAUAAAUAAAUAAAUCUUUAAAAAAAAAUACAGACAACUGGGGCUGGAGAGAUGGCUCAGUGGUUAAGAGCACCGACUGCUCUUCCAGAGGUCCUGAGUUCAAUUCCCAGCAACCACAUGGUGGCUCACAACCAUCUGAAAUGGGAUCUGGUGCCCUCUUCUGGUGUGCCUGGAGACAGCAACAGUGUGCUCAUAUACAUUAAAUAAAUAAAUAAAUCUUAAAAAAAAAAAAGGCACAGCGCAUGUACCAUCAAACAACAACAACAACAAUAACAACCCUAAAGAUGCUAUUAUGCUGUAUAGAGAAAAGUAGAUGCAAAGGAACCAUAAAUAAAAGUACUUGAUAAGUAUAACAAAAGCUGAAACUGGACAUGGUGGCUCAUUCCUGUAAUUUUAGCAUCCAGAAGCUAUUUAAUGAGUUCCAAGCCAUCCAGAGCUGAGUAAAGAGACCCUGUUCAAAAGAAAUGAGAAAAAUUCUUCAGUGCUUUUGAUAUGUAUAGACUAUCUCGUUUUCUUCUACAAACGCAUGAUUGAACUUGAAAUGACAAGAAAUAGUAGCUUCCGGUUGUCACAAAGCUGGUGUGUGGCAGAGCUGGACAGAGACCUAUGUGGAUGGGUUGCCAAGUCCCUGGUCUUGCCCAGUGUUCUGCAUGCCCUCCUAGGGUACCACAGAGCAUGAGGCAAAUGAGUAUCUUUGCUGGCUGACUGUAGACAGGUUCUGUAGUAUAUUAUAGUAAGAAGAAGUAAGGUUGGAUUUCUACAUCCUUUAACUAGGUGUCAAUCUAGAAUGGAAAUAGACUGAAAAAAAUCAAAAUAUAAGGUAUUGGGCUAUUGGGAUCACUCAGUAUGUCAAGGUACUUGGACAGAAAGCCUGAAUUCCUGAGUUUGAUAAAUGAAUCCCUUAGUGAAAGAGCUGACUUUUAAAAGCUGUUCUCUGAUCUUCAUCACAUUGCUUUGUAUGCUCACGAGUGUAUACCCAUGUGCGUGUACAUGCCACACAUACCACAGACCGCCCCCCUUCACACACACACACACACACACACACACACACACACACACACACAGAGAGAGAGAGAGAGAGAGAGAAUACAACAAAGCUAAGAGAAUAUAGGGAAAUAGUUUUGUGGCUUAGAGAAGAAAAUAUAGGGAAAUAUUUUUGUGACUUGGAGGUAAGAAAAUAUUUCUCAAGAUGCUGAAACACAACCAGUGACCGUGUCUAGUAACUGGUAUAUGGGAAGCUUGACUGCUGCAGAACGAAGCAUCUUGUACUUAGGUAUGCACUGACAUAUUUGAUGGUACUACAAACUGAUGAGGAAAAAAUCAACAGAAUAAGACGUCUAAGAAAAGAUGUACAAGAUAAAUAAAUAAUAAAUACAACAGGGACUUCUAAGACUUAUAACAAGCCAAUAGGAAUACAUAAAACACACUGGUAAUGGAAGAAAUCCAUAUACAGGUACAUGAAAUACAGCUUGAUAUGUGAUUAGAAAGAUGAAAAUUGGAAAGGUGAAUGAUACCAAGUAUGGGUGAAGACCUUGAGCACUGAAAACGCUCAUGUUAGAAAUGUAAUUUUGUAUAUAACUAGACAGCAAGAAAAUAAUAAAAUAAAAUAAAAUAAAUUUAAAAAUUCAUUUAUUCUCUACUCUCUAUGAUUCCAAGGCAGAAAAAUUUCCUCAGGUCCUUUACAAGGUAUACAAAAGGAUGUUUCUUUAUGCCAUUGUAUGUUAAGGGAGUUUGGAAGCUAAAUGGUUGCCCAUCAUUCGGGACUAUAAAAAUAAAAUAGAGCAGAUACACACAUAAAGUAAAAUUAAAGGAACAAAUAAGAUUGACAUGGAAUUAUGUAGACUUGGAAUUAAAGACAAUGUUGAAUCAAAGAAAUGAGGAAUGAAAACAUUUAGAUGAUUCUAGUUUGGAAUAGCAUAAUACUAUUUUUUUAAAGCUAAAUCUGUCUGUUUAAAGGUAGACAGUAUGACUUGGUGAGAGCCAGCGUGGCUAGCAUGUGCGAGGCCUUGGGUUUGUUCCUUGGCAGCAUUUAACAUUGCUAAUAAAUAACUUUCACUGUGGAUAUAUCUAAACAUCUUAAGUAAAUGUGAAGCAAAAAAGAAAUUAGGAACAUGGAUCAGGAGAGGCCAUUAAAUAGAAGAUUUUCUGUAGACAAUGACAGUAGAGCCAUGAGUAAGAGCUGUUGUUCAGACUCAGUCAGAAGACAUAGAAGCCAAUUAGGUGACAUAUCACAAUGGAAAUGGGUGGCAGAGGAUCCAGACACCCAGAGAGCAUGGACACUAUUCUUUUUACAUGUUACAUGCUAUAUGGGGAAGAUAACGCAUGCUAGUAUUAAGAGAGAUUUCUAAAGUUGCAUUCUCCUAAAAGCAGAAAGGUGAACUUUUAAGCAUGGCCGUUUAACCAUUCAUAAAUUGGAGGCAUUGGUGAGAGGGAGCCAUUUUUCCUGAACCAAUAAAGAAAAGUUAAUGAUAGCAACAGUAGGAGAAAGGUUUGGGGAGGGAAAGCAAGCCUGCCUGGAGCCAUUCCCAAACAUCACAAAGGCACUAAUCCCCGUCUUCACCAUUCAGUCCACAGUUCUCUGCGGGCCUGAAAUGUUAAGAAGCAAGCUGUCUACAAGCCAUGCUUCCCAAUAUCUGAGGGAGGCAAAGCUCUGCAAUCUGAGAGAGAAGAAUAAGACAGCUUCAAGAUGUCCAGAGUUCUGGAGCAGUGCAGUAACAAACAGUGCUCUCCCUGUCCUGAGUGUUCUGAUACAGAGACAUCUCACCUGGGGAUACGGAAGUGUCUCCGCUCACUCAGAAACUUAAAACACAUAGAAGCAUACAGAAGGUAGAGCAUGACGACACUGGAGACCACAUUCAGAAUUGCUUAAUGAGCCUCUAGACUCGAAGACACUUCUGCACAGCUGUCAGCCCUCAAGAGAAAGCUUCUUUCUGCAGUGGAUGACGGCUAAUUUAGAGAUUCAUGAUCGGUCAAGGUGCAGAGAGUAAGCGACUACAGAGAGUUCAUCCCUAAGGUACAUCCACCUCCAGCCCUUGGGGGACAUUGUGGAAGAAGGGAUAAAAAGACUGUAAGAGGAAGAGGCUAUGGAAGACUGAAGACAAACAGUAUCUUCUAGAAAUGAUGCAGCUGUGUGCUCAUGGACUCAAAGCUGCCAUGUUGUCAGUUGGUGGAGUGCUUGGAAAGAGAAAGCCACUUUUCUUCAGAGAUGUGGCCCCUGGUAGGUAGGUCCUCAGGCAGCCCUGUGUCCAUGCAUAUGUACAUAUAGAGGCAGCACAACAAGAAGAUGAGAGAUUGAAUGGAGAUGCGUAUGUGAAGGGUCUGUGAGGGGAAGUGGUAUGGAUAUAAUCAAAACAUAGUUUAUACAUGUAUGAACUCAAAGAAUGAAUAAAAAUAUCCAAAUAAAUAAAUGAAAAUAGAGGUAAUUAAAAACUAAAAAACAAAUAGUGUGGAGAGUGACUGAGAACAUCCAACCUGGACCUUUGGUCUCCAUAUGCCCAAGUGCCAUGUGCAUGUGUACCAGAAAGCAAGUAAAUAUGUACACAUCUCCAUGACCAUGUAUAUGACACACUCAGGCACACACACUCAUACACACACACUUUCUUAGGUUAAAUUAGAAACUGUUAGGUAGUUUAAAAACAUCAAUAAUAGACAGUAAAAGAAAAAAAUGUUCCACUAAAGAAAAAGCUGAACAUAAAAAUAUUCCUUAGAGACAUGGCAACACGUCUGAAGGGCAAGCUGAGCUUGGCAUCUAGCAUAACCCUGUUUCUUUAGAUGGUUGUUCUUGCCCUAGCUAAAGGAGCUAGGAUCUUUACUUAUUCAUCCUCUUCAUAGUGGCCAUCAUGUACUGCAGCACAAUCUCCUGGUUAUUACUUAUUUUUCUACCAAGAAUAUAGCCAUUAAGGGCAUGGAGUUCAGUUUGUUGAAUAUACCAGCAAAUAUUUCUAGAGAAUAAUAGGUAUCUAGAAAAUAUGAAUGAAUAGGCAUCUAGAACAGUGAAUAAACGUGUGCCAAAUUCAUCCGGUUAAGGAAGCGAGCAACUAGACCCAGCUGCAUCCUACAUGAGAAUAAAAGAACAGGGAUCUUGUAACAGAUUAAUCACUUAAGUGGAAGUUAGAUUUAGGUACAAAGGACAAAGAAGUUGAAGUAGUAUGUAGUAUGCCGAUGCUUGGGCAUUGGGUAAAUAUUUUUUGAGGAACAAGAUCAGAGAGUUCAGGUCCAGUAAAAGGAUUAGCAAUGGACUUGCUCCUGUUGAACAGGUUUGGCACAGGCUUUAAGGAGAGGGCUCACGAGGUACCUAGCCUUGGCAUUACAGAUGAAAGGUCUGAUGGUCAUUCUGGAUUUCACAUGGAUCCUCACACGUGUGAGACUGUCUAAAACUGUGUACACUGCUUCUUAGAAAGUAGUUCUAACCAAAGACAUCUCAGGACCUCGUCUUAGAGAGAAGAUGGAAUUUUGCAGGUCACAUCCUGGAACAUAUUCUGAUAUCAAAGACCUUGUUGACCAUGUUUUAUAAAACCACAGAUAUAUCUUUGAAAGAACUAGUUACAAAUUUGCAUGUACCCCCCCCCCCCCAGAAGUGACAGGACUCAGGUAUGGAGACAUGGUGUGGUAGAGGAACUGAACUUGUAAUGGCAUUUGGCAAUGCCAGUGUCACCUCUCCUCCUGAGGCUGCUUUUUCUACCUGGGCAGGACAUGAGCACUCUAAGAUCCAUGACAGUGCAGGACUUAAGACUAUGCUCUAUGGUGAACACACCCUAGUUCAAAAGAACAGUGACACGCUGGAGAAUUGCACCUCUAAUACAUCAGUCCAGGAAGCAGGGCCUUACAGACAGCAUAGUGGUAGGCACUGGAGCAAAGAAAAGCCAGUGAGCAUGUCAGACACUUGCUGUCCAGACCUGAAAUUUUUCCAUGUCCCAGAGGUAAGGCAGGUAUGAAUCUGGGAUUGACUGAGUGGCAGGAUUGUUAAUGUUGAUAUUCAGAUAGGAAGUAAAGUAAGCAGACUGCAAACCCCAUGGAGCUGCACAAUUUUAUCUCUUAGACCCAUGGCAUCUGGUACUAUUGGUGUUUUUGGAAGGAGGAAUUGAAGGAUAGAAAGAAGGGAAGAAGAAAGAAAGGAGGGGAAAAAGAAGAGAGAGACACACAAAGUAGGAAAGACAAAGCUGCAGGCUGCUUCUCUGAAAUGUCUGAUCCUCUAGCCUUUAAGAGGAUGGUAGUCAUCAACAUCUCAGCUGUAACUUCAAGACAGAACUGUUACGUUUUUGGUCAUGGAGAACUGAAUAAGGCCCAUGCUUGAGGGAGGUGUGUGUCAAUUAGGUUAUAUCAGCAAGUAUGCACAUCUGCCAGAGGUAAAAGACACAUGAGGAAGAAAUUACUUGAUCUAGUUCUCACUUACAGCGCAUCCAUCACUGUUGUGUGAUCCAUGGAGUAACAUUUCACAGGCUGCAGAAAGGACUGAACUAGUGAUAAGCAAGUUCUAGCACACAAGAGCACCCCCUUUCCAUGGGAUGUGCACACUCAUUAGAACAGGAGCAACAUUUUUUUUUUGAGGACAAGAUAGAAAAGUCACAGAGGAAGAAAAAUUGCAAGGCUUCAAAAAUCAAAGACAAUUUUGUCUAGAAAACUGCACUCUGUCUAGGGUCCUUGCAUGUGUACUCUCACAACACACACAAAUACCCCUUGCCAUUACAUGGUUAUCUUGGGUUGUAAUUAAUGGUAAGGAAACCAACAUUCUUGUGUUCUCUUUCCUCUGUACAAUUCUAUCACCUUUGGGUCGAGUUCAUCUUGUGCACAGAUAUGUGACCACGUGCAAUUUUCUUUGUAUGUGUACCUACAUGUGGGAUAAUCAAGCGAGCUUAAUAUAUUUAAGAAAAUAAAAGUAAAACAAGAUCCUU
Rattus norvegicus (Norway rat) is the source of this 9154-nucleotide long non-coding RNA. RefSeq lists it as uncharacterized. The record is from RefSeq and is a predicted model, not a curated record. NCBI's taxonomy places the organism in Eukaryota, Metazoa, Chordata, Mammalia, Rodentia, Muridae.